GCACAAGCGGUGGAUGAUGUGGUUUAAUUCGAUGCAACGCGAAAACCUUACCACCUUUGACAUGUACGGAACCCUUUAGAGAUAGAGGGGUGCUCGAAAGAGAGCCGUAACACAGGUGCUGCAUGGCCGUCGUCAGCUCGUGUCGUGAGAUGUUGGGUUAAGUCCCGCAACGAGCGCAACCCUUGUCAUUAGUUGCUACAUUCAGUUGGGCACUCUAAUGAGACUGCCGGUGACAAGCCGGAGGAAGUGGGGAUGACGUCAAGUCCUCAUGGCCCUUAUAGGUGGGGCUACACACGUCAUACAAUGGCUGGUACAAAGGGUUGCCAACCCGCGAGGGGGAGCCAAUCCCAUAAAGCCAGUCGUAGUCCGGAUCGUAGUCUGCAACUCGACUACGUGAAGUCGGAAUCGCUAGUAAUCGUGGAUCAGAAUGUCACGGUGAAUACGUUCCCGGGUCUU
This 456-nucleotide ribosomal RNA is filed under the name uncultured Rhodoferax sp. RNAcentral describes it as "bacterial SSU rRNA". It matches the Rfam family "Bacterial small subunit ribosomal RNA", at positions 923 to 1382 of the family's 1533-position model. Lineage: Bacteria; Pseudomonadati; Pseudomonadota; Betaproteobacteria; Burkholderiales; Comamonadaceae. The record is from RNAcentral.